GACGAACGCUGGCGGCGUGCCUAAUACAUGCAAGUAGAACGCUGAAGGAGGAGCUUGCUCUUCUGGAUGAGUUGCGAACGGGUGAGUAACGCGUAGGUAACCUGCCUGGUAGCGGGGGAUAACUAUUGGAAACGAUAGCUAAUACCGCAUAAGAGUAGAUGUUGCAUGACAUUUGCUUAAAAUGUGCAAUUGCAUCACUACCAGAUGGACCUGCGUUGUAUUAGCUAGUUGGUGGGGUAACGGCUCACCAAGGCGACGAUACAUAGCCGACCUGAGAGGGUGAACGGCCACACUGGGACUGAGACACGGCCCAGACUCCUACGGGGGGCAGCAGUAGGGAAUCUUCGGCAAUGGACGGAAGGCUGAACGAGGAACGCCGGGUGAGUGAAGGAGGUUUUCGGAUCGUAAAGCUCUGUUGUAAGAGAAGAACGAGUGUGAGAGUGGAAAGUUCACACUGUGACGGUAUCUUACCAGAAAGGGACGGCUAACUACGUG
Molecule: ribosomal RNA, 495 nt
Filed under: uncultured bacterium
Lineage: Bacteria
Description: partial 16S ribosomal RNA
Rfam family: Bacterial small subunit ribosomal RNA
Source: RNAcentral